Molecule: ribosomal RNA, 492 nt
Filed under: uncultured bacterium
Lineage: Bacteria
Description: partial 16S ribosomal RNA
Rfam family: Bacterial small subunit ribosomal RNA
Source: RNAcentral
AGUGAACGCUGGCGGUAGGCCUAACACAUGCAAGUCGAGCGGCUGCACUCUACGAUCUUCCUCGUACGGGUGGCUAUUGGCUGACAGUUUAUGCCUACAUCGGAGUCUACUUUUUCGUAGUGGAGCACGUACGGCAUCUUACCUUAAUAUCACAUACUACCUACGGCUGAAAGCAAGCCAUCUUCCGAUCUUGCACUUUUUAGUGUGCCGAUGUCGGAUUCCCUAGUUGGCGGGCUAAAGGGCUACCACGGCGACCAUCCGUAGCUGGUAUGAGCGGAUGAUCAGCCAGACUGGAACUGAGACACGGUACAGACUCCUACGGGAGGCAGCAGUGGGGAAUAUUGGGCGAUGGGGGAAAGCCUGAUACAGCAAUACCGCGUGGGUGAAGAAGGACUUCGGGUUGUAAAGCGAUUUUGUUGGGAAAGAAAAGAAGCAGGUUAAUACCCCGCUGUUAUGACGGUACCCAAAGAAUAAGCACCGGCUAACUUCGUG